This 244-nucleotide ribosomal RNA is filed under the name uncultured bacterium. RNAcentral describes it as "partial 16S ribosomal RNA". It matches the Rfam family "Bacterial small subunit ribosomal RNA", at positions 15 to 252 of the family's 1533-position model. The record is from RNAcentral.
GAUCCUGGCUCAGGACGAACGCUGGCGGCGCGCCUAACACAUGCAAGUCGAACGAGCGAGAGAAAGCUUGCUUUCUCAAGCGAGUGGCGAACGGGUGAGUAACGCGUGAGGAACCUGCCUCAAAGGAGGGGGACAACAGUUGGAAACGACUGCUAAUACCGCAUAAGCCCACAGGUCGGCAUCGACCAGAGGGAAAAAGGAGCAAUCCGCUUUGAGAUGGCCUCGCGUCCGAUUAGCUAGUUGG